AUCGCACCUCAUCUUCUUCGAGCUUACCUUUGCCCUCUGUUUUGAGAGAAUCGUGCCCCAAUUGGUAAAUGUGGUCGUCUGAAACGCGGACGGAAUUCGCGCGUAACGUCACAGCUUGGACAAUUCGGUUCGAUUCGCCUGUGACGUCGGGAGUGCCGCUUUAAGUAUCGCGCGAUUUUCGUAUUCAGGUACGCAUGCGAGCAAAGCGUGCGUCGCGACGCGUGUGUGAGUGCUUUAGAGGAUUACUAAAAGAAGGAGGAGGUCUAGGAGAGGCAUCGGGCGACAGAAGAGCAACAAUAUGGUCCGUUCUCGUCGAGAUUUCUUUUUUACAUGAAGAUGUAAAUACUUCAGCAACCGUCCCGUACGAGGGUCAUCGAGCGGUUAAACUACAUGCGCUACAUAAGAUGCCCAGCUGCUGGAGUGAAUGCGUGAAGGAAGCAAGGGACGUCUGAAAGGAGUUGAGAAUCGUCGGAGGAGGGAGGAGUCGAAG
Molecule: long non-coding RNA, 490 nt
Organism: Linepithema humile (Argentine ant)
Lineage: Eukaryota; Metazoa; Arthropoda; Insecta; Hymenoptera; Formicidae
Source: RefSeq, a predicted model, not a curated record